Gossypium raimondii (Peruvian cotton) is the source of this 1841-nucleotide RNA transcript. RefSeq lists it as uncharacterized. The transcript has 3 exons. NCBI's taxonomy places the organism in Eukaryota, Viridiplantae, Streptophyta, Magnoliopsida, Malvales, Malvaceae. The record is from RefSeq and is a predicted model, not a curated record.
CAAAAAUAAUUAAUAUUAAACCAACAAAAGAAAUCCCUAGAAGCCUAAAGAAAAGGGGGGAAAGAUGAGGCCGAUGCCGAUGGAAUUCGUGACGGACCCAGACGACCAAGGUUCAGCCAUGGAAGUCGACGAUGUUGACACACCGCAGAUCUUCAGCGAAGGCGUCGUCGCUUUCGACAAUUUUGAUUACUCCGAUAUCGACUAAAAAAACAAAGAAGAAUCGCAUGUUGAAGUUCCGAUCCCAACUCCAAAUAAAGGUGAAAUUUUGCGUAAAUUGGAUUGUAGACUGGUUUGUAGUCUCUUUUAUAAUUUAACCAACAAAAUAAUAGACUGGUUUGUAGAUCUCUUAAUUCAAAAUGGAUAGCCUUUCAAUUGCUUCUGUUUUGUUUCUACUUAUUGUUUUAAGCUGGAAAGGUUGGUUUUCUUUUUAAAGGAAAGUUGAUUCUCCCUUAAUUCUUAGAUUUCCAGAACUGAUUUUCAGGUUUGACAAGGAACUGAACAAGUAAGUUGCUAUUAAAGUUAUUGAUUUAGAAGAAUCGUAAGUGGAUACCUUUGUUAUAUUUUCCUUGAUUUAUUCCUCAUUAAAGUGUCUUGUAGCAGGUGCUUGCUAUGAGCAGCAAAGUAUGAAUGAAUCUGUGGUGGACUUGCUUGACUUUGCUUAACGUUGCUUAACUUACAUUAUUAGAUUAGCUAUAACCUUUCUAUAUGUCUAUAUAGUUAUGUAUUUUCAUGCAUUGUUAAUGUAUGUACUGCCUUUGUUUUUCUUUGCUUCUUAAUCAGUUACUUCCUUGCAAAUCCUUCUAACUUUUCCAAAAAAUAAAAUUCUUUGUUUGUGCAGCAUGACACUGAUGGUUUUGAUAAACAAGGAAUGAGGCUUCUGCUUGCGACACUUAACAGGAUAUUUGAUUCAUUGCAGACAACUUAUGAAGGUUUGUUUUUAUUGGAUUUCAGACUUCAACGGUAAAGGCGAUAUAUAUAUUUGAUUUAUCUGCACAAGGUAAGCAUUUUCUUCCGGUUCUCAUGAAUUUCCGUCUAUGGUCGAGCAUUCUCUUCAAGCGUAAUGUCCUUACUAGAAUGCUUUCCAUAUUUCCAUUGUAUCUUACAUGCAAUCCGAACUUAUAUCUUUGUGAACGUAUAUGCAGUUUCCUCUUCUGUCGAAAAAUGCAUACUUACAAAAGUUGGUUGCAAGUGAUAAUGAAGAAAACAAUGAUGAAAUUCAGAUUUCUGACAUACCCGGAGGCCCAGUUGCCUUUGAGAUAUGUGCCAAAUUUAAUAAAAAAUGAACUUAUAUCAUUUUUCUUUUACUUGUGUACAUUGCAUAACAAAUCUAUGACACUUUUAGUCAAGUGUGGGUGUUGGUUACAUGUACGAGUCCAGACAACAGAUAUGAUUGAACUUUGGUUACCUAUAUUGACUUAAGUGAGUAGAUAUAUCAGUAGUGUACAUUUUUUUAUUUCACAAACAAUCUUAAAAAGUUGAGUUAUUAUUAUUUUUAGAUGUAUUUUUUAAUAAUUUACUAUAACAUUAUAAAACAAUCUUAAAAAGUUGAACUGAUUUACUUAUCUUUGCCAUGUUCACUAUGGUUUGAACAGAUUAAGUUACUCUUAUUUUCAUGCAGAGCAUGUAGGAGCCAAAUUUGCGGUUCAAAUUCGAAGCCAUACUCAAAAGUUUUUCUCUAAGGCUCAUUGGUUUGAGUUCAUUACAAGAUUUCCUUGAUUAAGUAAAUGUAUUAUAUCUUUUAUUACCAAGAUUUACUUGAUUAAGAAAAUGCAUUGUAUAUUAUUACCUUGCAUAUGUAUUAUUUAUUUUAGUUUUCAUUCUAAAUUUGUAUUUUUACUUAA